Molecule: ribosomal RNA, 253 nt
Filed under: uncultured bacterium
Lineage: Bacteria
Description: partial 16S ribosomal RNA
Rfam family: Bacterial small subunit ribosomal RNA
Source: RNAcentral
UACGAAGGGGGCUAGCGUUGUUCGGAAUUACUGGGCGUAAAGCGCACGUAGGCGGACUACUAAGUCAGGGGUGAAAUCCCGGGGCUCAACCCCGGAACUGCCUUUGAUACUGGUAGUCUCGAGUCCGGAAGAGGUGAGUGGAAUUCCGAGUGUAGAGGUGAAAUUCGUAGAUAUUCGGAGGAACACCAGUGGCGAAGGCGGCUCACUGGCCCGAUACUGACGCUGAGGCACGAAAGCGUGGGGAGCAAACAGG